Molecule: unclassified non-coding RNA, 332 nt
Filed under: soil metagenome
Description: partial contains 5.8S ribosomal RNA, internal transcribed spacer 2, and large subunit ribosomal RNA
Rfam family: 5.8S ribosomal RNA (bases 1-120)
Source: RNAcentral
GAUGAAGAACGUAGCGAAAUGCGAUAAGUAAUGUGAAUUGCAGAAUUCAGUGAAUCAUCAAAUCUUUGAACGCACAUUGCGCCCGCUAGUAUUCUGGCGGGCAUGCCUGUUCGAGCGUCAUUUCAACCAUCAAGCCCUGUUUAGGCUUGUGUUGGGGCCCUGCGGCUGCCGCAGCCCCCUAAAUGCAGUGGCGGGCUCGUUGUCACUCCGAGCGCAGUAGCGUAUCUCGCUCUGGGCGUGGCGGCGGGUGCUAGCCGUGAAACACCCACUAAGGUUGACCUCGGAUCAGGUAGGAAUACCCGCUGAACUUAAGCAUAUCAAUAAGCGGAGGU